GUGCCACGUGUCCCACGUCUCCCAGUGGGAGACGUUGGAUGUCCCCCUGGCCAUUUAAUGAAUUUUGGGUCUUCUUCUUCCUCAUAACACCAAACAGAGAGAGCACACCAAACAGAGAGCACGAAAGGGGUUGCGAUUUUAGGGUUUUCAAGGUUGUGAUUUUGGUGGUGAGAUUUUAGAGAGUACUUUGCAUCAAAACUUCUAUAUCUAUCAAUCACACAUUUGAGAUGGUUAGGUCACUAUUAUAGGGGAAAUGCUGCCCGAUAUUAUUUAGGAUAAUAAACGAUUAGUUGAGAACGGGCAUUACUUGAUUGAACAUGCAAGUCCCAGGCAUUACUUGAGAACGCUAACAAGCACAUCAUAUACAGAGGCACAAAUUGAUGAGUUGCGACAAGAAUGGGCGACAUAUAUGUUGCCGAUAAUCCAAAGUUACCGACCUCGUUGAUAGGUUUUUUUUUAAUUUUUUAACUCUUUCUUCAUACACAAUGCAAUAUUUGUUCAUUUUGAAUAUUUCUAACAAAUAUUGUAUUUCUUGUAUAUAUCUAACAAAUAUAUUUUUUUAUUUCAAUUUAAAUUAAUAUUAUUUCAAUUUAAUUAAUUUAAAUUUAGAUUAAAAUAAUUUCAAUUUAAAUUAAUAUUAU
Humulus lupulus (European hop) is the source of this 641-nucleotide long non-coding RNA. RefSeq lists it as uncharacterized. Lineage: Eukaryota; Viridiplantae; Streptophyta; Magnoliopsida; Rosales; Cannabaceae. The record is from RefSeq and is a predicted model, not a curated record. The transcript is spliced from 4 exons.